AUAAUAUAUAUUUUUAUUUUUUAAAUAAUAAAUUAAUUAAUUAUUAGAUAAUGUAGGAUAUAUAUUAUAGAACUGUUAUAACCAAUAAUUCUUCCAUGGUGAUUGGUGAUAUCGUGCGGUGACGAUUCUACAAUAGGAAGUGCCCUCCUCCUUGCUGGUAUUUCCAUCCACAUAGUGCAUAGGGAUGGUAAUCGAGUCGGGUCGGGCUAUAAACGGG
This 217-nucleotide long non-coding RNA is filed under the name Elaeis guineensis (African oil palm). RNAcentral describes it as "long non-coding RNA (EGUI_LNC011509)". Lineage: Eukaryota; Viridiplantae; Streptophyta; Magnoliopsida; Arecales; Arecaceae. The record is from RNAcentral.